Pangasianodon gigas (Mekong giant catfish) is the source of this 74-nucleotide non-coding RNA. The record is from the annotation of a GenBank genome assembly. Lineage: Eukaryota; Metazoa; Chordata; Actinopteri; Siluriformes; Pangasiidae.
AGCAGCUGUAGCUCAGUGGUUAAAAUGGUGGACUACUGAUCGGCAUGUCGUGAGUUCAAAUCCCAGCACUGCUA